This 1387-nucleotide ribosomal RNA is filed under the name Allobrachymonas denitrificans. RNAcentral's name for it is "Brachymonas denitrificans 16S ribosomal RNA". It matches the Rfam family "Bacterial small subunit ribosomal RNA", at positions 78 to 1432 of the family's 1533-position model. The record is from RNAcentral. Lineage: Bacteria; Pseudomonadati; Pseudomonadota; Betaproteobacteria; Burkholderiales; Comamonadaceae.
CUUCGGGAUGCUGACGAGUGGCGAACGGGUGAGUAAUGUAUCGGAACGUGCCCAGUAGUGGGGGAUAACUACUCGAAAGAGUGGCUAAUACCGCAUGAGAACUGAGGUUGAAAGCGGGGGACCUUCGGGCCUCGCGCUACUGGAGCGGCCGAUAUCAGAUUAGGUAGUUGGUGGGGUAAAGGCCUACCAAGCCGACGAUCUGUAGCUGGUCUGAGAGGACAGCACCAGCCAGCACUGGGACUCGAGAACACGGCCCAGACCUCCUACGGGAGGCAGGCAGUGGGGAAUUUUGGACAAUGGAUCGCAAGUCUGAUCCAGCAAUGCCGCGUGCAGGAUCGAAGGCCUUCAGGUUUUAAACUGCUUUUGUACAGAACGGAAAAGGCUUUGGCUCAAUACUUGGGGCUCAUGACUGUUAUUGUAAGAAUACGCACCUGCUUAACUACGUGCCCCGCAGCCGCGGUAAUACGUAGGGUGCGAGCGUUAAUCGGAAUUACUGGGCGUAACGCGUGCGCCGGGUGGUUUUGUAAGACCGAUGUGAAAUCCCCGGGCUCAACCUGGGAACUGCAUUGGUGACUGCAAGGCUGGAGUGCGGCAGAGGGGGAUGGAAUUCCGCGUGUAGCAGUGAAAUGCGUAGAUAUGCGGAGGAACGCCGAUGGCGAAGGCAAUCCCCUGGGCCCGCACUGACGCUCAUGCACGAAAGCGUGGGGAGCAAACAGGAUUAGAUACCCUGGUAGUCCACGCCCUAAACGAUGUCAACUGGUUGUUGGGUAUGUUGCUUACUCAAUAACGAAGCUAACGCGUGAAGUUGACCGCCUGGGGAGUACGGCCGCAAGGUUGAGACUCAAAGGAAUUGACUGGGGACCCGCACCAACGGUGGGAUGAUGUGGUUUUAUUCUAUGCAACGCGAAAACCCUUACCCACCUUUGACAUGGCAGGAAUUCCGGAGGAGAUUUGGAAAGUGCUGGGAAAGAGAACCUGCACACAGGUGCUGGCAUGGGCUGGUCGUCAGCUUCUGGUCCUGGAGAUGUUAGGGUUAAAGUCCCGCCAACGAGCGCAGACCCUUGCCAUUCCUUGCUACCUAAAGGGCACAUCUAAUGGGACUGCCGGUGACCGAACCGGAGGAAGGUGGGGAUGACGUCAAGUCCUCAGUGGCCCUUAUAGGUGGGGCUACAGCACGUCAUACAAUGGCCGGUACAAAGGGUAGCCAACCCGCGAGGGGGAGCCAAUCCCAUAAAGCCGGUCGUAGUCCGGAUCGCAGUCUGCAACUCGACUGCGUGAAGUCGGAAUCGCUAGUAAUCGUGGAUCAGCAUGUCACGGUGAAUACGUUCCCGGGUCUUGUACACACCGCCCGUCACACCAUGGGAGCGGGUUCUGCCAGAAGUGGUUA